UACAGAGGUCUCAAGCGUUGUUCGGAAUCACUGGGCGUAAAGGGUGCGUAGGCGGGUCUUUAAGUCCGGGGUGAAAUCCUGGAGCUCAACUCCAGAACUGCCUUUGAUACUGAAGAUCUUGAGUUCGGGAGAGGUGAGUGGAACUGCGAGUGUAGAGGUGAAAUUCGUAGAUAUUCGCAAGAACACCAGUGGCGAAGGCGGCUCACUGGCCCGAUACUGACGCUGAGGCACGAAAGCGUGGGGAGCAAACAGG
Molecule: ribosomal RNA, 253 nt
Filed under: uncultured bacterium
Lineage: Bacteria
Description: partial 16S ribosomal RNA
Rfam family: Bacterial small subunit ribosomal RNA
Source: RNAcentral